This 518-nucleotide long non-coding RNA is filed under the name Sorghum bicolor (sorghum). RNAcentral describes it as "long non-coding RNA (SBIC_LNC017100)". Lineage: Eukaryota; Viridiplantae; Streptophyta; Magnoliopsida; Poales; Poaceae. The record is from RNAcentral.
GCUUCUGCACUUCUUAUUAUGUAGUUUCAUUAGUACAGAUAUUAUCAUCUGAUCUGGUGUAUUUUUUCAGUAAAUUUGAUGAUAUAUUUGAAGGUUUUCUUGAUGUCUUUGAUCCCAAUGCAGCCAGAAUACGUAUGAGUUUGACCUGCUACCAUACUCAGUUCAAUACUAACCCUGCCUAAAAUAGAAGUCUACAAAAUUGAUGUGAUACAUGAGUGUUUUGCCUGUAUUUCUUAAGGUUUAGAUGGAUAAUUACUUUAAAUUUAGUUGCACAUACAUGUAUUUAUUUCUUAAUAAGGUUCAAAUGGCUAAUUACCUUUAAUGGGGGGUGUAUGCAAGGGUUGAGGUGUUGGAGGCAAGACAUGGUGGCUCUAUAGAGGGAGAUCACUACGGGUGGAGAGGGCACAACUGGUGAUGGCCAAGGAGAUUGUGUAAGUCAAUCAACCUCAACCUCACUGUGAACUGGAUCGCUCAAGAUUAGAGGCUCAACUUAGCUCAGGAAUAUGGUACUGCUGCAG